AGGAACGCGAAGAACCUUACCAGGUCUUGACAUCUUCUGCUAACCUAAGAGAUUAGGCGUUCCCAUCGGGGACGGAAUGACAGGUGGUGCAUGGUUGUCGUCAGCUCGUGUCGUGAGAUGUUGGGUUAAGUCCCGCAACGAGCGCAACCCUUAUUGUCAGUUGCCAGCAUUUAGUUGGGCACUCUGGCGAGACUGCCGGUGACAAACCGGAGGAAGGUGGGGAUGACGUCAAAUCAUCAUGCCCCUUAUGACCUGGGCUACACACGUGCUACAAUGGACGGUACAACGAGUCGCGAAACCGCGAGGUCAAGCUAAUCUCUUAAAGCCGUUCUCAGUUCGGAUUGUAGGCUGCAACUCGCCUACAUGAAGUUGGAAUCGCUAGUAAUCGUGGAUCANCAUGCCACGGUGAAUACGUUCCCGGGUCUUGUA
Molecule: ribosomal RNA, 429 nt
Filed under: uncultured bacterium
Lineage: Bacteria
Description: bacterial SSU rRNA
Rfam family: Bacterial small subunit ribosomal RNA
Source: RNAcentral